RNAcentral lists this ribosomal RNA (460 nucleotides) under uncultured bacterium. Its description in RNAcentral is "partial 16S ribosomal RNA". It matches the Rfam family "Bacterial small subunit ribosomal RNA", at positions 339 to 795 of the family's 1533-position model. The record is from RNAcentral.
CUACGGGGGGCUGCAGUGAGGAAUAUUGGUCAAUGGGCGCAAGCCUGAACCAGCCAUGCCGCGUGCAGGAAGAAGGUCCUAUGGAUUGUAAACUGCUUUUAUUUGGGAAUAAACCUCUGGUCGUGCACCGGAGCUGAAGGUACCAAAUGAAUAAGCACCGGCUAACUCCGUGCCAGCAGCCGCGGUAAUACGGAGGGUGCAAGCGUUAUCCGGAAUCAUUGGGUUUAAAGGGUCCGCAGGCGGACUUAUAAGUCAGUGGUGAAAGCCUACAGCUUAACUGUAGAACUGCCAUUGAUACUGUAAGUCUUGAAUUCGGUCGAAGUGGGCGGAAUGUGUAGUGUAGCGGUGAAAUGCUUAGAUAUUACACAGAACACCGAUAGCGAAGGCAGCUCACUAGGCCUGGAUUGACGCUCAGGGACGAAAGCGUGGGGAUCAAACAGGAUUAGAUACCCCGGUAGUC